GUCGUUUAAUUUAAAUAGGUACGUUAACACGAGAUCUUCGUUUAUACGAAAAGUAUAGUUGACGCGAAUAUUUAUAUAUUUACCGAAUCGUGAAUAAAUAUUACGUUCUGGCCGAGGUGAUUAUUUUAUAAAUUUGAGGAUUGGCUAGAAAAUAUUUAAAAUAGUUAAUAUUAUUUUGUAUGAUAUAUAAUUAUUUUAAAUUCGCGUUUAUUAAGAUCGAUACGAGAAUAACCGAGCCGAGCCAGAAUUAUUAAAAUAUUAACGGGACGGACUUGGAGCCCAAGUCUAUUACUUGGCGCCCACGAAUUAUACUUGGGGACAAAGCAACUUUAUUAAUAAACUAUAUGUUAAUUAGUAAUUAACUCUUAAUGGUCAGAAGAUUAGUUAUGGUAUAAAAACAAAACAAACGUGAGAAUUUGCAAGAGUGUAGAGGAAAAAGAAACUAAAGUGAGUGAAAAAAAAAAAAAAGAGAAGGCAAAAGAAGUUUUACAGAAGGUGUACUCCGGAAGUCCCCGUAAAGCAAGUAUGGGUUGCAGCUUGUUUGGUGUGUUGGUCGGAGAGGAGUAGCCGGCCGGAGCUCGCGUCGGCGUCGCCGACGGAGACGCGUCUCGGGAUCGAGGGAGAAGAGACAGCGGUGGGUUUAAGCUGUGGAAGAGAGAGAGAGAGAGAAAGAGAGGGGGGAGAGGGAAAGAGAGAGAGGGAGAGGGAGAGAGAGAGAGAGUAACGGAGAGAGGAGGUCGCCGGAGCCUUCUCAGGCCGGCGGCAGUGGCGGCGAAGAUUAGGAAGAAGGAGAUGGAAUGAGGAAGAUGGGGGACAGUUUUGUAAUUUAACGCUUUCUGAUAAAUAAUUCGCUGGGAACUAAUUUGAUGUCGGAUUGUAAAAUAAAAUUCAUAUUUGGAUUCCUUGUGAAAAGUUAGAUGGAAUGAGCUUUUGAAUCAAAUGAUUUGGAUGAAAAAUAAGGGAGUUAUGAGUGGUCAAAGUUUGGCCAUGGGUGUUGACUUCGGGGAGAGAGAAACUAGAUGAGUAUGUUGGAGAAGAUGAUGACGUGGCAUCUUCUGAUUGGUUAGAAUAUUGAAAAUUAGUAUUUAAUUAAUUUGAGAGAUUAAACGAGGAAAUUAGUAAAAGUGUAAAACAUGAAAGUUUAAAUAUUUCGGAUUUAAUGGUAAAACCUAAUUUUGGGUUCGAGAGAUAUUAAAUUAAUUUAUAUUAUGGUUGAUUUAAUAAAUAGUUAGUUAAAUUGGAGGAUUUAGUUAAUAAUUGAAUAAAACGAAUAGUUUAGAAAAAUGAGACUUUUGGGAUAGUAACAUGAGUUAGUAAGGAAUAUUUUGCUUAAAUUAAUAAUAAGAGGAGAAUAAAUGAGAAAUGAUCUAAUAGUAAUAUAAAAUGAGGAAUUAUAAGUAGAUUUUACGAGAUCAUCGUUUUAAGAUAAGAUUCUAAUGUAUUAUUUUGUGACAUAGAAGAUUGAUUAUCUGGAAGGCGAGCUUGAUUAGUCAACUUAAAUUGGAACGUGGUGCGCUGUAAGUAUAUACUGUACCCUUCACUGUGAUAUUUUAUGAUGUUUCGGUGAACAUUUUAUUGAUGAUUUUCUGAUGAGAAAUGAGUAUUCUUACAUUUGUUCUGUGUGUGAUGCUUCCUUUGUGAAGUAAAGUAUGAUACUUCCUCCGGGAAGGAAAGCUAAACCAAUUGUUUAGCUGGCCGGGAUCCCCAACAGUAGAAUCUGUGAACUUUUGAACGUGUCUGAAUACUCAUACUCAUCUUCUUGUGUGAAACUGUUUCGAUGACUCUGAUGAAAUAUUGAUUUGGUUCACCAAGUUUUGUGAAUAAAACUCAAUUAAAAUGUACGUAUAUGCUUACUGAGCUUUAUAAGCUCAUCCCUUUUUAUGUACUAACCUUACAGGGAAGAAUUCUGGAGAAGGAUACUCAGGCAAGGGUAAAAGUGUGAGGAAUCGAAAUGCUAGACUUGGUUGGAUUUGCAAGUAGAAGUUUAGUAAAAGUAUUAUGUAAUCGAAAGAAAUAUUUGUGAACUUUUUGAAGAGUGAUGUAAGACUCUGAUGUAAGGUAAAAUAUGCCUUUAAGUUAUAUUAAGUUUGAGAUUAUGAAGAUA
Molecule: long non-coding RNA, 2104 nt
Organism: Daucus carota subsp. sativus
Lineage: Eukaryota; Viridiplantae; Streptophyta; Magnoliopsida; Apiales; Apiaceae
Exons: 2
Source: RefSeq, a predicted model, not a curated record